ACCUGGGUGGCUUAGUUGGUUAAGCAUCUGACUUCAGGUCAGGAUCUCCAGGUUCGUAGGUUCAAGCCCUGCUUUGGGCU
Molecule: transfer RNA, 80 nt
Filed under: Felis catus (domestic cat)
Lineage: Eukaryota; Metazoa; Chordata; Mammalia; Carnivora; Felidae
Rfam family: tRNA
About the family: Transfer RNA (tRNA) molecules are approximately 80 nucleotides in length.
Source: Rfam by way of RNAcentral